CCCUUGCAAACAUCAAUACAAGGAGGUUAACAACUCCUUCCUUAUGGAACACAAAAUUAUUGUGAAUUAGCAUUAAAUACAAAAAAAAAUUACAAAAAUACCUCUUCUAUUUUAGCUCAUUUUUACUUAUACCCUCUGUACUUUAAAAAGUAUCAAACUAGUCUUUCUAGCCAUCGAUAUGUUUCGAUAUGGGCCAUCCGUCUAUUUUUGUUAAUAAAAUUUUUUAAAAUGACAAAAAUACCUGUCUCUUCCCUCCUCCAUCCUCUCCAAUUGAUUUCCUCCUCCAUGACUGGUGUCCCUCUUUCUCUUUCUUCCUUCCUCCUCCUCUCCUUUCUCCUCCUCCCCUUCCUUCUUACCUGUUUCUCCUCUUCCCCUUUCUCGUUCUCUUUUCUCCAUCCAUUCUCUUCCUCUUCCUUCUCGUCCAUUUCUCCUCCUCAUCUUUCUCCUCCAAGCUGUCCAUAAACCACCCCCCUACAUGGCGGCCUCCU
Molecule: long non-coding RNA, 488 nt
Filed under: Elaeis guineensis (African oil palm)
Lineage: Eukaryota; Viridiplantae; Streptophyta; Magnoliopsida; Arecales; Arecaceae
Description: long non-coding RNA (EGUI_LNC008463)
Source: RNAcentral